RNAcentral lists this ribosomal RNA (460 nucleotides) under uncultured bacterium. RNAcentral describes it as "partial 16S ribosomal RNA". It matches the Rfam family "Bacterial small subunit ribosomal RNA", at positions 338 to 795 of the family's 1533-position model. The record is from RNAcentral.
CCUACGGGUGGCAGCAGUGAGGAAUAUUGGUCAAUGGACGGGAGUCUGAACCAGCCAAGCAGCGUGAAGGAUGACUGCCCUAUGAGUUGUAAACUUCUUUUGUACAAGGAUAAACCUAGGCACGUGUGCCUUUUUGCAUGUACUUUAUGAAUAAGGAUCGGCUAACUCCGUGCCAGCAGCCGCGGUAAUACGGAGGAUCCGAGCGUUAUCCGGAUUUAUUGGGUUUAAAGGGAGCGUAGAUGGGUUGUUAAGUCAGUUGUGAAAGGUUGCGGCUUAACCGGAAAAUUGCAAUUGAUACUGGCAGUCUUGAGUAUAGUUGAGGUAGGCGGAAUUCGUGGUGUAGCGGUGAAAUGCUUAGAGAUCACGAAGAACCCCGAUUGCGAAGGCAGCUUACUAAACUGUGACUGACAUUGAUGCUCGAAAGUGUGGGUAGCAAACAGGAUUAGAUACCCGGGUAGUC